UACGGGAGUGGCAAGCGUUAUCCGGAAUUAUUGGGCGUAAAGCGUCCGCAGGCGGCCUUGAAAGUCUGUUGUUAAAGCGUGGAGCUCAACUCCAUUUCAGCAAUGGAAACUACAAGGCUAGAGUGUGGUAGGGGCAGAGGGAAUUCCCGGUGUAGCGGUGAAAUGCGUAGAUAUCGGGAAGAACACCAGUGGCGAAGGCGCUCUGCUGGGCCAUAACUGACGCUCAUGGACGAAAGCGUGGGGAGCAAACAGG
This 253-nucleotide ribosomal RNA is filed under the name uncultured bacterium. RNAcentral's name for it is "partial 16S ribosomal RNA". It matches the Rfam family "Bacterial small subunit ribosomal RNA", at positions 524 to 776 of the family's 1533-position model. The record is from RNAcentral.